RNAcentral lists this ribosomal RNA (225 nucleotides) under uncultured bacterium. Its description in RNAcentral is "partial 16S ribosomal RNA". It matches the Rfam family "Bacterial small subunit ribosomal RNA", at positions 111 to 334 of the family's 1533-position model. The record is from RNAcentral.
UAACGCGUGAGGAACCUGCCUCAAAGAGGGGGACAACAGUUGGAAACGACUGCUAAUACCGCAUAAGCCCACAGCUCGGCAUCGAGCAGAGGGAAAAGGAGUGAUCCGCUUUGAGAUGGCCUCGCGUCCGAUUAGCUAGUUGGUGAGGUAAUGGCCCACCAAGGCGACGAUCGGUAGCCGGACUGAGAGGUUGAACGGCCACAUUGGGACUGAGAUACGGCCCAG